RNAcentral lists this long non-coding RNA (240 nucleotides) under Panax ginseng (ginseng). RNAcentral's name for it is "long non-coding RNA (PGIN_LNC019193)". Lineage: Eukaryota; Viridiplantae; Streptophyta; Magnoliopsida; Apiales; Araliaceae. The record is from RNAcentral.
CUGGUUCCGUUAUUUAUUAUUCUGUCGGAAUAUCCUGUCUGUGCGUUUACACCGGAUCUAGUUCCAUUAUUUAUUAUUCUGUUGGGAAUAACCCGUCGGUGCAGUCUAUCGCACGCAUGGUGAAUCUUUCUAUUAUUCCAUUCUUUAUUAUUCUGUUGGAAUAACCUGUCUAUGUGGAUUAUCACAUGCAUGGUGAAUGAUCCUUCGUAUUCAUACGAAUAGUAUUUUCAUUAAAAAUGG